ACACAAGCGGAGAAGACCCGCUGCCGUCGCAGGCGCGACAGUGUUGUAACCUAAACGAUGAUUAGCAUAUUUAUAUGCAAUAUUUCUCCCGGAAGAACACCCUAAACCUUUGUCACCGAGCAGAGGGACGAGAAGAACAAAAUGGAUGGUGCUUCAUUGAACGCGGGAAGUCGUGGACAGGAGACGAAGGCAAAAAGUGGCUUCAUGGAACAGAGGUGAGAAUUUCAUCCAUGGCGGCACGAUAAGUGCAGGCUCCAUCUAACACCAUGGUGAGAGAGGGCCUUGACUCUGUUGCCAUGGUGACCCUGUAGCAGUAGCUCAGUAACUAAGAUCUGUUGCCUUGGUUGCCACCAUAAAAAAAAAAAAAAACCCAGGCAACUGUUUCAAUCUGUUGCCAUAGCGAGGCCCUUCAAAGGAAAACGGCGAGACAGUAGCAGCCGCAACCUCAUCUCGCACGCCAAUUUGUCACCAUGGGAACCUCUAGGAUGUUUCGGAUUUUUAUCGUCCUGGGCUCUGCCUUCAUGAUUCUUCUGAUCAUCCUCUACUGGGACGACGUCGGAACGUCCCAUUCGUAUUUGCACACACCUAUUUCACCGGGUCCCAAAAUGGCACAUCCUGCUCCAGGGCAGCAUCAGCAAGAAAAACAGCAGAAGCAGCCACCUCCAACCCCCCGUAUGCUGUCUUUCCUGUCCGACAUCGAUGCCUUUGUCAACCAGUUCUUAGAACCUGGAACUGGUGAACCUACAGACCCUGUCCUGGCAGAAACAAGCAACCAAUCAGAGAAGGCGGAAGAACGAUACAUACCAAAGCAGGAGUGGAAAGUUCAUCAGAUGCCGGUGGCACCAGAGCUUCGACAGAGACAAGAGCACCGGAAGAGGUUACUUGAGGAGGUGUGCGCCAACGACAGCGUGCUGUUUCCUGGCCAAAAACGUACAUUUGAUGACAUUCCCAACAAGGAGCUGGAUCAUCUGAUAGUCGAUGACAGGCACGGUAUUAUCUACUGCUAUGUUCCUAAGGUGGCUUGCAGUAACUGGAAACGGAUCAUGAUCAUUCUCAGUGAGAGCCUGCUCCACGACGGCCUUCCCCCGAGAGAUCCCCUGUUCAUCUCCAACGACCAGGCCCACAACAGCAGCAUGCACUUCACGUUCAACAAGUUCUGGAAGCGAUACGGCAAGUUUUCCAGGCACCUUAUGAAGGUCAAGCUGAAGAAGUACACAAAGUUCCUUUUCGUGCGAGACCCCUUUGUGCGUCUCGUAUCCGCCUACCGGGAUAAAUUAGAGGUGGGCAACGAGGACUUCUAUCGUAAAUUUGCUCAGGUCAUCCUGCGACGCUACGCCAACCAGCCGACGCCGCCUUCCUCUGUGGACGAGGCGCGCGCCGCCGGUCUCCACCCGUCUUUCUCCCAAUUCAUCCAGUAUCUCCUGGACCCCCAGACAGAGAAGGAAAUGCCCUUUAACGAACACUGGCGUCAAGUGUACCGUCUUUGCCAUCCCUGCCAGAUCCAGUAUGACUUUGUGGGACAUUUGGAGAGCGUCGAGGAAGACGCUGCGCAUUUAUUACGACUGCUACGCGUGGAUAAUGUAGUGGAGUUCCCCACCUCGCACGGGAACACGACAUCCAGCAGUUCGGAAGCCCAUUGGUUCAACACGGUGCCCCGAGAGUCGCUGAGGGAACUUUAUAAACUCUAUGAACCUGACUUCAGGCUUUUUGGCUAUGACAGACCGGACUCGAUCCUCAAUGAGUGACGCACGAUACGAUUUUUUUUUUACACUCCCAGAUGUCACGUGUGAUUGGCUGCUUUGUAGCACGAGGCUGCCAGCUAGCCCAAUCAGACGACGUUUUUUUAUGUUGCUACAGUAGAGCUUUUACACUCUUAUUUAUUUCACAAUGUGCAUUAUUUUCCUUGAAAGCAUGAAAACGUAUUUUCCGAUUCCUUGCAUUGAUUCAUUCUAUCAACCCUCAGCAUGUACUAAUUUUUAAUGAAUAAUUUCAAUUUUGUGGAUGAAGCAUUUAGCAUUUCAAGCUAAAAAAAUAGCUAAAUUAACUAAAAUAGGCAUUCAGAAGACGCAUUCUAAAACGUAAUGACACCUCAAUGGUCACUAGGUGUCAAUAAUGUUACAGUAACGUUCAGUCAGACACACAAGCACCAGAAUUGACAAACUUUUUAUUGCACGUCUAAAACACAACCCUUGUGUCUGGAAAAAGCUAUGGCAAUCAUAAAAAAAAAAAAGUAAAUUAACCUUAAUAUAAAAUAGUAAUGCUAUAUAAUAACUCAAAAAUCCCAGCUACGCCCAAAAUGCUAGAAAAAUACACUUUAAAUAACAUAUUUUUUUAAAGGACAUUUAUUUUCUUCAUAAUAUUACAAUGUUGUUUUUAUUAAAUUUAUUUUUGUAUUUCCCCCCCAUAAUUAUGCUUUAAUUCUCAUAGUAUUUUGACAUUCUGGUAAAAUAAUAAAUCCUAUCCCAGCAGUCUCUCUUUUUUUUUUUUUACAAUCCAUUUACCUAAAUUCAGUGUCUGAAAAAGCUAUGGUAAUCAUAUGGUAAUCAUUAAAAGCACCAGAAUUGACAAACUUUUUUUGCACGUCAAAAACACAACCCUUGGUGUAACUUCCUGUCCACCCCCCCCCCCCCCCCUUGCCCGCUAAUCAGCUCUCCGAGCACUGGAACACAUUUAUAGUCUUAAUUGUGCCUGGUAUGGCUUCUUUUUUCUGAUCUAUAUUGGGUAAUAUCAGUGUAACAGUGACUAUAGGGGUGUUAUUUCAUGUCUAGAGGUCUCUCAUAUGGUUAAAGAAGAUUAUGAACAGGUUUUCAAUGCUUUUAACUACAAAAAUAUUCCCUUUAUCAUGGUCGGGUCUGGAACCAUUUAACUAUGAUAAACAAGGGAUUACCUUUGUAGUCGAAUAAUGUAGAAUAUUAGCAUAACAUUAGCAGCUUUGCUUUGACAAACACCAAGUCAACUACACUGUAGCAUCAAGUUUAAAAUGCAAAAAAAUGUCUUGUUGCUCGUCAGUGAUGAAAGCCUGGAAGUAUUUUCCAAAAGCGACAUUUUCUGUUCAUUACUAGGUCACUUUCGAAUAUUGGUUGUCCAAGCCCUGGAGGCUGCAACCAUGCCAAAAGUUGGAACUCCAGAGUUUAAGGUUUCGAUAGGCUUGAACCAUGGAUCUGACAUGAACAAAAAUAGUGCCUUCGGUUGCAAAAGUUUACAAGUUUAAAGUAUUUUUCUAGAGGAAAAUUACACAAUACAGUUACAGCUGUUCGAUGCCACAUGUUUAUUUGAUAUUCUAAGCCGAUUUUGAGAUGCAGGAAACUGCAUUUUUUGGACCUUGUGUAACUUCUGUAUGCAUCUUUAAAGUGACUUGUUUUGUGCAAUUAAUAAUUAGUGUGGUUUGUACUCUUGAUGAUGUCACACGCCUUUUAAUUUUUAAACAAUGUAAGCUAUUUUUAAUUGGAUAUUCUGUUAAUAUUCUGUUUAUUUUACAGUGCAUGUGUGAUUAUUGCAAGUUACAUUUUUUUUUUUCAAAAAUAAAACCCCAAAAUCUGUAAUACAGGUAAGUGUUUUCAGCUGGUUUUGCAGAUUUAUGUGCACAAUUAGUUAGUAGUCACUCCCCUCUGGUGGUUGAAAUGAGUAAGUGCAUUAAUAUGCUGUCAAUUACAUACUCAUUUACUUAUCCAAAUACGCCCUCUAGAGGGUGUAAGCGGUAUAAAACUAAUACACACCUGUUGAAACUUGCAUGCAAUAUUAAUUUAAAGUAUUUAUAAACUCAUUCAAUGUGACAAAAUUACUCUGUGCUUGCUUUGAUGAGGUAUCCAUUGAAAGUGAUGUAAACAUCCACAUCAUCGCUGUAAAUGGCAUUCUCCCUUUCCCUUUUAUACAGGCGGAUCCACACCUCAUCGCCGAGUCCCAAGUCCAGCAUCAGGCUCUGGCUCUGCAUGAUGGAGCGGUCGCUGGGCUGCGCGUACACAAUAGCCUGCUCGGCCUCGUUUCGCAUGAUGUGCAGCCUACUUCACCAGCCUCUGUUUAUUUGGGAAGGAA
This is a non-coding RNA of Doryrhamphus excisus (bluestripe pipefish), 4032 nucleotides long. The record is from RefSeq and is a predicted model, not a curated record. Lineage: Eukaryota; Metazoa; Chordata; Actinopteri; Syngnathiformes; Syngnathidae.